AGUGAACGCUGGCGGUAGGCCUAACACAUGCGAGUCGAACGGCCGCACAGUAAGAGCUUGCUCUUACGGGUGGCGAGUGGCGGACGGGUGAGGAAUACAUCGGAAUCUACUUUUUCGUGGGGGAUAACGUAGGGAAACUUACGCUAAUACCGCAUACGACCUACGGGUGAAAGCAGGGGAUCUUCGGACCUUGCGCGAUUGAAUGAGCCGAUGUCGGAUUAGCUAGUUGGCGGGGUAAAGGCCCACCAAGGCGACGAUCCGUAGCUGGUCUGAGAGGAUGAUCAGCCACACUGGAACUGAGACACGGUCCAGACUCCUACGGGAGGCAGCAGUGGGGAAUAUUGGACAAUGGGCGCAAGCCUGAUCCAGCCAUACCGCGUGGGUGAAGAAGGCCUUCGGGUUGUAAAGCCCUUUUGUUGGGAAAGAAAAGCAGCAGGUUAAUACCCCGCUGUUCUGACGGUACCCAAAGAAUAAGCACCGGCUAACUUCGUG
This 492-nucleotide ribosomal RNA is filed under the name uncultured bacterium. RNAcentral describes it as "partial 16S ribosomal RNA". It matches the Rfam family "Bacterial small subunit ribosomal RNA", at positions 29 to 507 of the family's 1533-position model. The record is from RNAcentral.